Molecule: ribosomal RNA, 253 nt
Filed under: uncultured bacterium
Lineage: Bacteria
Description: partial 16S ribosomal RNA
Rfam family: Bacterial small subunit ribosomal RNA
Source: RNAcentral
UACGUAGGGUGCAAGCGUUAAUCGGAAUUACUGGGCGUAAAGCGUGCGCAGGCGGUUUUGUAAGUUUGUCGUGAAAGCCCCGGGCUCAACCUGGGAAUUGCGAUGAAGACUGCAAGGCUUGAAUCUGGCAGAGGGGGGUAGAAUUCCACGUGUAGCAGUGAAAUGCGUAGAGAUGUGGAGGAACACCGAUGGCGAAGGCAGCCCCCUGGGUCAAGAUUGACGCUCACGCACGAAAGCGUGGGGAGCAAACAGG